AUGGACGAGGAGGAGGACAGUGAAAGAGAAGAAGAAACAGAUGAUGAGGAGUAUAAUGGAAGAGAAGAAGACGAUGAGAUGCAUCUCAGCUACUGGAUUAAAAAUAAGGAGAUCAAGAGUAAGGAUAAAAGUAAAACUUUGUGCCUAAUUUGCUACAUGGAGCGGAGGGACCCGGUUACUGAAAUUGCCAACAAAGAGAUUGAGAUCGAGCGUCAUCUCAGAAAAGUUCACAAGAUGCAGAAGAGGAAAGGUUAUCGGUGCCAAAGUAAAGGUUGUUGGGUGAGAGCUAGAAACAGAAGAGAUAUUGGCAGGCACCAAUUUCUAUGCCACAAUCUAUAG
RNAcentral lists this ribosomal RNA (339 nucleotides) under Triticum aestivum (bread wheat). Its description in RNAcentral is "partial small subunit ribosomal RNA". Lineage: Eukaryota; Viridiplantae; Streptophyta; Magnoliopsida; Poales; Poaceae. The record is from RNAcentral.